GUCCAGAAUGUGAGUAGCCACCCCACCCCACCCCCGCCGCCAGUGAUCCAGCUCCCUCUGCAUCCUUCCAGACCGCUCCACCCCUCGCACACCCUUUGUCCUGGCGUUUCCAGUUUGGGUCGCCCCUCUCUCCUCCUUCGCUGACGUCUUCCUCUUUCCACUUCCCCUUCUCCGAAGACAGACCUUUGCCCUUCUGACAUUUGGUCUGCUCUAGUCCGAAUGCGGCGGACGACUGUAGUCUUCUCCCGCCUCGGCCUGGCCCGCUGGGCUCCGUCCGACUAGGACUGGUGGGGCGGCCGACGACGGGGGGAUCAGCCCCGAGGACCUGCCCCCAUCGAUGCCACCCACCUUCCCUAACUCACCCGUAGGCAACCCCAUUCUCCCUACCCUCUGAUUCCUCCUGGUUCCAGCAUGAGAAAGUCCCCUUCGACAGCCCUCAAGUUGCGUGGGUGCCCGAGCGAGGGAGAGGGGGACAAAGGGAGACCUUGUCUCGGGAGAUUCCUGGGAGAGGACGCCUGAGCUCGCAGUGGAUGAGGCGGUGCAUCGAUGGGGGUGGGAGGAAGCUGGGAGGGGCAAACCCAGCUGUUGUCGCCCCCCAAACCACCCUGAGGCCCACUGGAGCAGAGGCGAGUCGCAGAGGAAGUAUUUUGACCACAGUGAGUCAGAAAUAGAUCCAGUCCGCCAUCACCCAGUCAGUCGCAACAUCCUCCCCUGUUUGGGUGCUGGGAAGUGGAACCUAUGUUAAAGACUGUCGUCGUCCCCCCCCCCCCCCACCUCAGGAGGCAAUCACGAGUGAUAAGGAAAACUUUGGCCCUGUCAUAAGACACACCCUACACCCAGCAUGGCACUGAGGCCAUCCAGGGGCACCCAGCACAGGGAGGCUGUGGGGUGAGAUGGGGCAGUAGGUGUGCCCAGCAGCAGGAGUUGCAAGUAUUAGGGUCUGUCCCUGUCUGCACAGCAAGGAAAGCUCUCCUCCUGGGCAGCCUGCCCGCUCCACGUCUGAGAAAUUCCCACAAGCCCUGCUUCUAGGGCCUCCAGAAGGCAGGUAAGAAUUCCUGCCGCUUCUGUCCCCUGGGCCUCAGAGAUGGAGCAAGGCUUGGAGGUCCCUGGACAGGAAGGCUGAGCUGGGGACUCUCUGGCUUCCUGUGUGCCCUCUGUGUCCAGGAUUGCUGAUGUUUCAUUUCCAAAUUUGGCAGAUUUCACUUGGAGUGGAAGGGCUAGUGGCUGUCUCUGGAACAGAUCGGGAGCGGGCUGGAGAGAGGAGUAGAGCCAGACAGGGAUGGACCCAAAGCUCCAGCCUACUUUCUUCUCCUCCCUUUCCUUUCCCUUCCUCCUUUUUUCAGCCUCCUCCCCUUCUCUUCCCUCCUUCUCUCCAGCUGCCACGUGCCUCUGCCUAGCUGCUCCCCUCCCUGGGAGCCCCAAGAGCCUGCAUGGCCUCACCCACCUCCACCAACCCAGCACAUGCCCAUUUUGAGAGCUUCCUGCAGGCCCAGCUGUGCCAGGAUGUGCUGAGCAGCUUCCAGGGGCUAUGCAGGGCCCUGGAGCUGGAGCCUGGUGGGGGUCUGUCCCAAUACCACAAGAUCAAGGCCCAGCUCAACUACUGGAGUGCCAAGACGCUGUGGGCCAAGCUGGACAAGAGAGCAGGGCAGCCUGUCUACCAGCAGGGCCGGGCCUGCGCCAGCACCAAGUGCCUGGUGGUGGGUGCUGGCCCUUGUGGGCUGCGGGCUGCUGUGGAACUGGCACUGCUGGGGGCACGUGUGGUGCUGGUGGAAAAGCGCACCAAGUUCUCUCGCCACAACGUGCUCCACCUCUGGCCCUUCACCAUCCAUGACCUUCGGGCACUCGGCGCCAAGAAGUUCUAUGGGCGCUUCUGCACAGGCACCCUGGAUCACAUCAGCAUCCGGCAGCUUCAGCUGCUUUUGUUGAAAGUGGCAUUACUGCUGGGGGUGGAAAUUCACUGGGGUGUCACUUUCACUGGCCUCCAGCCCCCUCCCAAAAAGGGGAGUGGCUGGCGUGCCCAGCUCCAGCCCAACCCCUCAGCCCAGCUGGCCAACUAUGAAUUUGAUGUCCUCAUCUCUGCUGCUGGAGGUAAAUUUGUCCCUGAAGGCUUCACAGUGCGAGAAAUGCGCGGCAAACUGGCCAUAGGCAUCACAGCCAACUUUGUGAACAGGCGCACCGUGGAGGAGACACAGGUGCCUGAGAUCAGCGGUGUGGCCAGGAUCUAUAACCAGAGCUUCUUCCAGAGCCUGCUCAAAGCCACAGGCAUUGAUCUGGAGAACAUUGUCUACUACAAGGAUGACACUCACUACUUCGUGAUGACAGCCAAGAAGCAGUGCCUGCUGCGGCUGGGGGUGCUGCGUCAGGACUGGCCGGAGACCGACCGGCUGCUGGGCCGUGCCAACGUGGUGCCUGAGGCUCUGCAGCGCUUUGCUCGGGCAGCUGCUGACUUCGCCACCCAUGGCAAGCUCGGGAAGCUGGAGUUUGCCUUGGACGCCCACGGGCGGCCUGAUGUUGCUGCCUUUGACUUCACGAGCAUGAUGCGGGCAGAGAGCUCUGCUCGAGUGCAGGAGAAGCAUGGCGCCCGCCUGCUGCUGGGGCUGGUGGGGGACUGCCUGGUGGAGCCCUUCUGGCCCCUGGGCACAGGAGUGGCUCGGGGCUUCUUGGCAGCCUUUGAUGCAGCCUGGAUGGUGAAGCGGUGGGCAGAGGGCGCCGGGCCCCUACAGGUGUUGGCAGAGCGUGAGAGCCUGUACCAGCUCCUGUCACAGACAUCCCCAGAAAACAUGCACCGGAACGUGGCCCAGUAUGGGCUGGACCCAGCCACCCGCUACCCCAACCUGAACCUCCAGGCUGUGACCCCCAAUCAGGUACAAGACCUGUAUGACGUGGUGGCCAAGGAGCCUGUGCAGAGGAAGAGUGACAAGACAGAUGCAGGAAAGCCGGUGACUGGGUCGGCGGGCACCCAGGAGGAGCUGCUACGCUGGUGCCAGGAGCAGACAGCUGGGUACCCUGGUGUCCAUGUCACCGACCUGUCUUCCUCCUGGGCUGAUGGGUUAGCUCUGUGUGCUCUGGUGCACCGGCUGCGGCCUGGCCUACUGGAACCCUCAGAGCUGCAGGGGAUGGGGGCUCUGGAAGCAACUGCUUGGGCACUGAAGAUGGCAGAGCAUGAGCUGGGCAUCACGCCAGUGUUGUCCGCACAGGCAGUCGUGGCAGGAAGUGACCCACUGGGCCUCAUUGCCUACCUCAGCCACUUCCACAGUGCCUUUAAGAGCACCCACAACCCAGGCCCUGUCAGCCAAGGCUCUCCAGGGACCUCCAGUGCUAUACUAUUCCUUGGCAAACUGCAAAGGACCCUGCAACGGACACGGGCCCAGGAAAAUGAGAAGGAUGUUGGUGGCAAGAAGCGUCGCCUGGAGGUAGAGGCUGCGACCCCAAGUACGGAGGAGCCACCUGUCCCAGAGCCUGGUGUACCCCUGACACCCCCAUCGCAACACCAGGAGGCCGGUGCUGGGGACGUGUGUGCACUUUGUGGGGAACACCUCUAUAUCCUGGAACGCCUCUGCGUCGAUGGCCGUUUCUUCCACCGGAGCUGCUUCCACUGCCAUAGGUGUGAGGCCACAUUGAGGCUGGGUGACUAUGGGCAGCACCCAGGGGAUGGACAUUUCUACUGCCUCCAGCACCUGCCCCAGCCAGGCCACAAAGAGGAUAGCAGUGACAGAGGCCCUGAGAAUCAGGAGCUCCCUACACCGGAUGAGAAUAGCAUGCCAUCAAGCCCGGCUCCCAUGGCCACCCAGGAGGAGGCCAGUCCUGUCCCAAGCCCCAGCCAGCCCACCCGUCGGCGGCUCCGCCUCUCCAGCCCAGAACGCCAGCGGCUAUCCUCCCUCAACCUGACCCCUGACCCAGACAUGGAGCCUCCACCCAAGCCCCCCCGCAGCUGCUCUGCCUUGGCCCACCAGGCCCUGGAGGGCAGCUUUAGGGGCUGGGGAGUGCCAGUCGAGAGCCCUCAAGGCCAUGUCUGCUGCUCCUCUGCUCAGUUCUUGUGGCCAUGGAGAAGGAGGAAGAGAGUUCCUCCUCCAGUGAAGCGGAAGAGGAGGAAGAGGAAGCUGUGGCCUUGGAGUCAGGCGUGGAAAAGACUCUGCGGACCCUUGCCGAGAAAUCAGGCACCAUGGACAAGUACCCAACAUGGCGCCGGACUCUGCUGCGCCGUGCUAAGGAGGAGGAGAUGAAGAGGUUCUGCAAGGCCCAGGCCAUCCAGCUGCGACUAAAUGAGAUCGAGGUUGAUCUGAGGGAGCUAGAGGCCCUGGGCAUGAAGCUGGAGCUGGCCUUGAGGAGCCAGAGCAGUUCCCCAGAACAGGAAAAGGCACUAUGGCUAGAUCAGCUGCUACAGCUCGUUCAGAAGAAAAACAGCCUCGUGGCUGAAGAGGCCGAGCUCAUGAUCACGGUGCAAGAGCUGCACCUGGAGGAGAAACAGUGGCAGCUGGACCAGGAGCUACGAGGCUACAUGAACAGGGAAGAAGACCUAAAGACAGCUGCCGAUCGGCAGGCUGAAGACCAGGUCCUGAAGAAGCUGGUGGACGUGGUGAACCAGCGGGAUGCCCUCAUCCGCUUCCAGGAGGAGCGCAGGCUCUGCGAGCUGGCCUCGGGGCUUGGGGCCCAGGGCUAGAAGAGGGUGGGCUGCCUGCCUUCUUCCAUACAAGGGAGAUCACCUCACGCCAGGGCAGUGCCGCCCUGCUCGUCUGGACUGCCUGGGAGAGGGCCUCACUGCUUAUAAUAAAAAUGAUUCUGCCACAAA
Non-coding RNA from Equus caballus (horse), 4789 nucleotides. Lineage: Eukaryota; Metazoa; Chordata; Mammalia; Perissodactyla; Equidae. The record is from RefSeq and is a predicted model, not a curated record.